GGGGCUGUAGCUCACCUGGGAGAGCGCUUCCAUGGCAUGGAAGAGGUAGCGAGUUCGAGUCUCGUCUGCUCCACCA
Molecule: transfer RNA, 76 nt
Filed under: bacterium
Lineage: Bacteria
Also listed under: 1 other name
Description: tRNA-Ala
Rfam family: tRNA
About the family: Transfer RNA (tRNA) molecules are approximately 80 nucleotides in length. Their secondary structure includes four short double-helical elements and three loops (D, anti-codon, and T loops). Further hydrogen bonds mediate the characteristic L-shaped molecular structure. tRNAs have two regions of fundamental functional importance: the anti-codon, which is responsible for specific mRNA codon recognition, and the 3' end, to which the tRNAs corresponding amino acid is attached (by aminoacyl-tRNA synthetases). tRNAs cope with the degeneracy of the genetic code in two manners: having more than one tRNA (with a specific anti-codon) for a particular amino acid; and 'wobble' base-pairing, i.e. permitting non-standard base-pairing at the 3rd anti-codon position.
Source: RNAcentral